RNAcentral lists this long non-coding RNA (239 nucleotides) under Capsella grandiflora. Its description in RNAcentral is "long non-coding RNA (CGRA_LNC001374)". Lineage: Eukaryota; Viridiplantae; Streptophyta; Magnoliopsida; Brassicales; Brassicaceae. The record is from RNAcentral.
GGUUGCACUUUCGGCACCUGUAGCUCCAGCACUUUCAGCGCCUGUAGCAGCUCCACUACUUUCACCACCCGCAGCAGCUCCACCGCUUUCUCCACCAGGUGCAGCUCCACCAGGUGCAUCUCCACCAGGUGCAGCUCCACCAGCAGCACUAUCACCACCAGCAGCAUCUCCACCACUUGUGCUUCCAGUAUCACCAGCUGCUCCACUUCCAGCACCCAUAGAACUGUCUCCUCCACUAG